CGUGAAGGAUAACGUUGCGUCAGCAACGGCCCGAAGGGCGAGCGAAGCGAGUCAUCCUGCACGACCCACCA
This 71-nucleotide small RNA is filed under the name Salmonella enterica. RNAcentral describes it as "partial RtT sRNA". It matches the Rfam family "RtT RNA", at positions 54 to 130 of the family's 130-position model. Rfam says of the family: This family represents a bacterial cis-regulatory element known as RtT RNA. The exact function of RtT is unknown although it is thought that it may be involved in changing the cellular response in relation to amino acid starvation. The record is from RNAcentral. Lineage: Bacteria; Pseudomonadati; Pseudomonadota; Gammaproteobacteria; Enterobacterales; Enterobacteriaceae. RNAcentral also lists the same sequence under 6 other names.